RNAcentral lists this non-coding RNA (148 nucleotides) under Chlorocebus sabaeus (green monkey). The record is from Rfam by way of RNAcentral. Lineage: Eukaryota; Metazoa; Chordata; Mammalia; Primates; Cercopithecidae.
GCCAGGCGUGGUGGUGGAUGCCUGUGGUUCUAGCUACUUGGGAGGCUGAGGCGGGAGGAUCUCUUGAGCCUGGGAGGUCAAGGCUGCAGUGAGCAGUGAUCACACCACUGCACUCUAGCCUGGGCAACAAAGUGAGACCCUGUUUCAA